GGAUGAAGAACGUAGCGAAAUGCGAUAAGUAAUGUGAAUUGCAGAAUUCAGUGAAUCAUCGAAUCUUUGAACGCACAUUGCGCCCCUCGGUAUUCCGAGGGGCAUGCCUGUUCGAGCGUCAUUAUAACCCUUCAAGCUCAGCUUGGUGUUGGGGCCUGCUGUAACUGGUAGCCCUUAAAAUCAGUGGCAGUGCUAUUAGGCUCUAAGCGUAGUAAUUCUUCUCGCUAUAGUGUGUAGUGAGCGCUUGCCAGAACCCCAAACUUUUAUAUGAUUGACCUCGGAUCAGGUAGGGAUACCCGCUGAACUUAAGCAUAUCAAUAAGCGGAGGA
Molecule: unclassified non-coding RNA, 329 nt
Filed under: soil metagenome
Description: partial contains 5.8S ribosomal RNA, internal transcribed spacer 2, and large subunit ribosomal RNA
Rfam family: 5.8S ribosomal RNA (bases 2-121)
Source: RNAcentral